CCUACGGGAGGCAGCAGUGAGGAAUAUUGGUCAAUGGACGAGAGUCUGAACCAGCCAAGUAGCGUGAAGGAUGACUGCCCUAUGGGUUGUAAACUUCUUUUAUAUGGGAAUAAAAUGUUCCACGUGUGGGAUUUUGUAUGUACCAUAUGAAUAAGGAUCGGCUAACUCCGUGCCAGCAGCCGCGGUAAUACGGAGGAUCCGAGCUUUAUCCGGAUUUAUUGGGUUUAAAGGGAGCGUAGGUGGAUUGUUAAGUCAGUUGUGAAAGUUUGCGGCUCAACCGUAAAAUUGCAGUUGAAACUGGCAGUCUUGAGUACAGUAGAGGUGGGCGGAAUUCGUGGUGUAGCGGUGAAAUGCUUAGAUAUCACGAAGAACUCCGAUUGCGAAGGCAGUUCACUGGACUGCAACUGACACUGAGGCUCGAAAGUGUGGGUAUCAAACAGGAUUAGAUACCCCAGUAGUC
RNAcentral lists this ribosomal RNA (460 nucleotides) under uncultured bacterium. Its description in RNAcentral is "partial 16S ribosomal RNA". It matches the Rfam family "Bacterial small subunit ribosomal RNA", at positions 338 to 795 of the family's 1533-position model. The record is from RNAcentral.